Molecule: ribosomal RNA, 482 nt
Filed under: uncultured bacterium
Lineage: Bacteria
Description: bacterial SSU rRNA
Rfam family: Bacterial small subunit ribosomal RNA
Source: RNAcentral
AAUCAACGCUGGCGGCGUGCCUCAGACAUGCAAGUCGAACGAUUAAAGCUCUCUUCGGAGAGUGCAUAGAGUGGCGCACGGGUGAGUAACACGUAAGUAAUCUACCUUCGAGUGGGGAAUAACGUCCGGAAACGGACGCUAAUACCGCAUAAUGCAGCGGCAUCGUAAGAUGACAGUUGUUAAAGAUUUAUCGCUUGAAGAGGAGCUUGCGGCAGAUUAGCUAGUUGGUAAGGUAAUGGCUUACCAAAGCUACGAUCUGUAACCGGUCUUAGAGGACGGUCGGUCACACUGACACUGAAUAACGGGUCAGACUCCUACGGGAGGCAGCAGUCGGGAAUUUUGGGCAAUGGGCGAAAGCCUGACCCAGCAACGCCGCGUGAAGGAUGAAGUAUUUCGGUAUGUAAACUUCGAAAGAAUAGGAAGAAUAAAUGACGGUACUAUUUAUAAGGUCCGGCUAACUACGUGCCAGCAGCCGCGGUAAU